GGAAGAUGCACAGAACUUCCCCAACAUCCCCUCCCAAAUCGAUAUGGAACCUUCAAAAACACAUGGAGCAACUGCGAAAAGAAAUGGCUGAGGAUAUACUAAAAAUGUCUGAGUUCAACAAAGCCAACAACUGCUUCAUGUGUGCCACUGAUAAAGAACCUGGAUGUGGCCCAAAGACUGACUGGAUUGAAUGUUUUGCAUGCCAACGGUGGUUCCAUGUGCUGUGCCUAGGAAUGAAGACAAAAGAGUUCAACAGAGUAAAGAACACAAACUGGAAGUGCAGUCUUUGUUGUUGAAAAUGUAUGCUAUACCCCAUCCACACUGAAGAGGUUCUGAAAUGUACAUCAACCAGGGAU
This is a non-coding RNA of Salmo salar (Atlantic salmon), 356 nucleotides long. The record is from RefSeq and is a predicted model, not a curated record. Lineage: Eukaryota; Metazoa; Chordata; Actinopteri; Salmoniformes; Salmonidae.